CAUUUGCUGCUCCCUCUCAACAGGCUCUUGGGCAGACGCCAAAGACACCCAGUUCAGGUACUCCGAUCAUAAAAUGUGAGUUCUGAAGAACUGUCUAGAGAACCAAUAGCCACUAAAAGACACCUUAAUAAAGUUGAAAAAUUCAUGACAGUCUCAAAAAAGCACAGCAGGGUCCUUACAGUAGAUGAAGAUCGCCCAGCAAAAUGUAGAAGCCAGCUGCUUUUCUGGAAAUAAAAAAUGGCAUCAGCUUUGGCAGACAGUAGUGAGAUCCAUCACUUCCUAGGACCCCCAAACAAUCUUCUGACCAAGGUCUGGAGAAGGGUGGUCACUGAGCAGCACCAUAAACAGACCACAAAAGCGUACCACCAAAGGUACAAGAGGAUUUUCAAAUGGCGAAUUAUUUCUACACGCAUAACAAACCAGGCUCCAAACCUACCGUGAAAGGAAAUCUUGGAACAUUAUAUUCCAUGUUCUUUGGACAAUAACAAGCAGGGAAUCCCACAGAAAAUUUCUCUCACUGAAAAAGUCAACCUACCCGAUUCACUCUGUUUUCUCUACAACCACAAAGUUCUCUGACAGCACUCUGGGGGGAAAAAGGAGUUAAUUCCUAGAUCGAUUCAAACACUAAGGUUCAAAUUAUAGACACAAGCUAAAAACAAAUUCCAAUUUCUUUUCCUCUUUCCUUUUGAUAUAUGUGCUAAUCUAGAGUGCCAAGUUCAGAAAAUACCUCUUGGGCUAUACAGAAUCAUUAGCUAUUCACGUUUACAAGGAAAAUCCUCUCAAAAGCUUUGCAGACAGAUGACGGCAGAUGCCCAAUGCAACUUUUUUUAAGUGAGUGUGUGUAAUGCAUACAAGGUAGAGAGAGGGAGGCACCAGAAUUUGUGUUUUUCAUUCAAGUGGAUGACGCCAGCUCACUAUCUGUAACGGACUGUUCCUUUGGAAUCAGCUCCCUGUGUCACAACGACCUGGCAAACUUGAAUGCUUUCACUAUCACUGGAGUCCUUGCAAUCCUGCCUUGGUUGUGACCCAUUCACUUCUGCCCCAACUUCUCAGAGAUGCCUUACUCAGCAUCUAAUUAGUCAGGGAGGAUUUGCCGUGGCUCUUAACCCUGACAUGGGAGUGGGAGGAUGUGCUGCUGUGGCAGCCCAAAUCUGUCCUGUCACUGCAUUAAUCAGAUUUCCAUAAAGCUAUGCAUGAAUAAUUGGAUUUAUCAGUGAAUGUGAAUAUACACUCAUAAAUAUAAUUA
This 1246-nucleotide long non-coding RNA is filed under the name Homo sapiens (human). RNAcentral describes it as "HSALNT0351273". Lineage: Eukaryota; Metazoa; Chordata; Mammalia; Primates; Hominidae. The record is from RNAcentral.